GCCCCGUGAUUGGGGCCUGGAGGGGAACCCCACAACGGGGGGGCAGCUCAAUGAGAGGCACCAUCCCCACGGACCCCCACCGCCAGCAAAGCCCGACGUGCCACAGCCUGGGGAGGGCGUCCCUCAGCACUGAACCCAUAUCUCCACAACCCCAUAUCUCCACAUCCCCACAUUCCCAUCCACAUCCCUACAACCCCACAUCCCCCCGUUCCCAUAUCCCUACACUUCCAUAUCCCUACAUCUCCACAUCCCCAUCUUCUCAUCCAUAUUCCUCCAUCCCCAAGUUCCCAAUCUCCCCCCAUCCCUACCUCUGCAUGUCCCUAUAUCCCCCCAUCCCCAUAUCCCCCCAUCCCUACACCCCAAUGCCCCCCGGGGUCCCCCCCCCACUGAGGCUCCGACCCUACAGAAGCACAGAACCCGCUCUGCCCCACACCCACGGUUGGUGGGGGAUGGAUGCGGUGCCCCACGGCAGCCCCGUAUGGGACCAGACAUCCCGACCACAUAUGGGACUUAAACCCCGCAGCGGCCGCAUUUGCUGAUUAAGCAGGAGGACCCUGCCCUAUUUAUUAGUUUUCUGCUGUUAAUUGUCCCUGACGCCCCUAAUGAAAAUCGGGGAUCCCAGGUGUUAAGUGGCAUUAGGGCGUCUCGCUAAGAAAGACGACUUUGCCCGCUUAAUCCCGGGAGAUAAACCCCAAAGCUCAUCGCGGCCCCGAGCACUAGGAAGCUUAUGACACAAAUUAAGCUCUUCACAUUGGCGACGCCCUCCCUGUGGGGCGGGGGGCUCUGGGGGACCCCAUAGGGCUGGGAUGGGGUGGGAGUUUGGGGUCGGCCCCAUACAACGUGGUUCAAUCCCGAUCCCAAUCGCUGCCUCGGUUUCCCCCACUUGUGGGACCCUUUGGGGCUCAGCUCUUCCGGUGGUCCCAACGCCCCACAGCCCCGCAGCCGGGGGUCCUUAAUGGGGCCAUCUGUGGGGUUGGACCCAACCCGAAUCUGGGCCAAAAAAUGGGAUUAGGGCCCCACGCUGCACCUCAGCAGUGGGAUUAGUGGGGCUGAGCUGCCAAAGCGGCACAGAGGUGGCCGAGGGGGUCCUGGGGGGGGGGGGGGACCCCAUCAGCACUUCGCUAUGGGUCGGUGGGAGGGCGGGCUGAGCCCCCCCGGGGUUUGGGGCCAUGUGAGGGUUGGCCAUUGGUUUGUAUGGGGGUUUGCUCCAUAUGGGGUUUUGCUCCACGUGGGGUUUCACCAUAGGUUUGCAAUGGGGUUUGGCCAUUGGUUUGCAAUGGGGUUUUGCUCUGUAUGGGGUUUUUCCAUCAUUUGGGGUUUUGUUCCACAUGGGGUUUGGCCAUAAGUUUGCAGUGGGGUUUUGUUAUUGGUUUGCAGUGGGGUUUUGCUCCAUGUGGGGUUUCACCAUUGGUUCUCGAUGGGGUUUUGCUCUGUAUGGGGUUUUUCCUUCUUUUGGGGUUUUGCUUCAUAUGAUGUUUUGUCAUUGGUUUGCAAUGGGGUUUUGGCCAUUGGUUUGUAUGGGGUUUUGGCCAUUGGUUUGUAUGGGGGUUUGCUCCAUAUGGGGUUUUGCUCCACGUGGGGUUUCACCAUAGGUUUGCAAUGGGGUUUGGCCAUUGGUUUGCAAUGGGGUUUUGCUCCAUGUGGGGUUUUUCCAUCAGUUGGGAUUUUGCUCCUCUAUGGGGUUUGGCCAUAAGUUUGCAGUGGGGUUUUGCCCCACGUGGGGCUCCACCAUUGGUCUGCAAUGGGGUUUGGCCAUUGGUUUCUAAUGGGGUUUUGCCUCAUAUGGUGUUUUGUCAUUGGUUUGCAAUGGGGUUUUGCCCCCAUUUGGGGUCUUUCCCCCACGUGCGCUUUGGCCACCGCUCUACAAUGGGGUUUUCCCAUCGGUUGGCAGUGGGGUUUUGCUGAGCGCCCCCCCCCGCCCCCAAUGAAGCACAGAUAUGGGGUCCGCCCCCCCCCCCCCCCCCCCAUCCCCACCCCAAUAAAACCAAACUGCAUUUCUUAAUGAGUUCAUCUUUUAUUGAAUCUUUU
Molecule: long non-coding RNA, 2028 nt
Organism: Gallus gallus (chicken)
Lineage: Eukaryota; Metazoa; Chordata; Aves; Galliformes; Phasianidae
Source: Ensembl